RNAcentral lists this transfer RNA (77 nucleotides) under Geothrix sp. Its description in RNAcentral is "tRNA-Arg". It matches the Rfam family "tRNA". From Rfam's summary of the family: Transfer RNA (tRNA) molecules are approximately 80 nucleotides in length. Their secondary structure includes four short double-helical elements and three loops (D, anti-codon, and T loops). The record is from RNAcentral. RNAcentral also lists the same sequence under 3 other names. Lineage: Bacteria; Pseudomonadati; Acidobacteriota; Holophagae; Holophagales; Holophagaceae.
GUACCCGUAGCUCAGCUGGAUAGAGCGUUGGCCUCCGAAGCCAAAGGUCGCUGGUUCGACCCCAGUCGGGUACACCA